This is a long non-coding RNA of Sapajus apella (tufted capuchin), 489 nucleotides long. RefSeq lists it as uncharacterized. Lineage: Eukaryota; Metazoa; Chordata; Mammalia; Primates; Cebidae. The record is from RefSeq and is a predicted model, not a curated record. The transcript is spliced from 2 exons.
UCUGGAUGGAAGAUAGGAAAAUUUCAAUUUUAGCCUAUGGUUCACCUAUGACUAAAAGUAGUGAAGCUAAAGAGAACAUGUAAAUUAGAAAUCAGAUGAUCCCCCACUCUACACAGAAAAAAAAAAAACUGCAUCUUAACCACUCCCCUCCCAGUCUUAACCAGUUUGGGUUUAACAUACUUCCUUCCCCUGUCACUGUUAGUGCUACCAAAGGAUCACUGGGAAAAGGAAUGUUAAAGACGUGAUUAGCCUUCAAAUUAGCCAACCAAUACCAGAAGAUGGAGAGGGGCCCACCAAGUCUUCCUUUCACCAAAUCCCUGAAUGACUAACUACUCUGUCGGUUCUGUCUAGGUGUUUAUGUCUAUCCUUUGACCUAUAGGCUCCUGAGGAACCACAGUAAUAUCUUCCUUCUUUAAGGAUGUAUACCAAGUAUAAGGUGUAUUAACUGAAUACGUUCAACGAUCAUGCCAUACUACUUGGUAUCAUAAU